UGCUCAUGAAUAUGAGCCUCUAGCAUGGCUUGAAACUAGUCGAGUUCCUCGUCAAACAGUUACGUGAGUAAGCCGAUAACAUAAUAAUUAAUUUAGUAUAUCUCACGAAAGUUAUAAUAAAAAGUUAUACAUACGGUCUAAAAAUCACAUCAAAAUGCCUAAAUAUAUAUUUUGUUUACACUAUAAUGUAAAGGCAUUUUGUCUGUCUAGAUAUUUUGUUUCGAAAAUUUUACAAUAGGUAUUUUAAACUUAAUUUAUUAGACUUUGAAAAAUGUUUACCAAUUUUAUUCCCGAAAUUAUUUGUAGUACAACGCCAUCUAUGAGUGGACAUUUGAACUAAAUCAAAUGAAUGAUCAUUUUGAACUCUAAAAUCAAGCAUUUAUACAAAUAUAGUGCAUUUUUUUAUUAUGUUUAAUGGACUAUUCACGUAACUGUUUGACGAGGUAUACUGGAUUUAUUUCCACUGCCAAUUAGUUGCUCUUGAUUAUGAGCCCUGGUGUGGGUCGAAACUAAUUGAGUUACCCCGUCGAGCAGUUUCGGGAAUAAACUUAUUUUUUGUUAGAUUAGAUACAGUGUAGAGAUUGUCCAGUCAACUGAUGGUAGCGAGGUUCACUGUCCAGUGACACACGUACGCUGGUAUCGUCAUGAGCUAAUGUCGACAUGUAAACAGUGACUCGUGUAGUGUAGAGAUUGUCAAGACGUCCACAGAUUCACCUGGUUUGAAUUAAAUAAUUAUUUUUGUGUUGAAUAGUCCAUUUAUCGAGGAAGGCUAUAAAACAUCACGCUACAACAAAUAGGAGCCUAGCAGCGGACAGUAGCUAGUCUAUAAGAAACCGGGAUGAUAUCAAAUUCGGUAAUUUACGGCCGUACUCGAAAACAUUUAAUGAUUACUUAAACUAUACCUUAGUAACGAGUUAGACCUUGUUCCGAAAAUAAUUGCUAAGGACUGGGUUAAGUAAGCAUUAAAUGAUUCUGAGUACGGCAGUUAUGUGACGUCUUGUGUGAGCGAUUUAGACGCGAAUCCAACGCGAUGCGGUGUGACGCGGCGGCUAUGUCCUACGUACAUGUUUCCUGAUGGGUAUAACCUGGGGCCUUAGUCUGCUAUUACAAUUGUGUUACAAUGGUCGAUCACUGAGCAGUGCAAGAGAGACGGAGCUAUGUAGGUUGUAUAGCUCCGUCCCUCUCGCACUGCUCAAUGAUCGACCAUUCUGACACAAUUGUAAUAGCAGACUAAGGCCCCUGGGUGUCUUCAAAGCCCGAGUGAAUAGGUUGCUUAUGGGCAGACGUGCUCCACCGUAGGCCGCAUCAUCACUUACCAUCAGGCGAGAUAGGUUCGCGUUCGCGUCUAUUUCGCUAGCGCGGGCGUCGCGUUAGUGUUUUUUAAAAGUUCUUGUGAAGUUUGAAAGAGAAAGCAAUAUAUUUUUUGAUUGCUCAAUGUUGAACGAGUGUGUAAAUCGCUAUACGAAAUAAAUGUUGUAAUAUAUUCCAUAA
Molecule: long non-coding RNA, 1491 nt
Organism: Spodoptera frugiperda (fall armyworm)
Lineage: Eukaryota; Metazoa; Arthropoda; Insecta; Lepidoptera; Noctuidae
Exons: 2
Source: RefSeq, a predicted model, not a curated record